Puntigrus tetrazona (Sumatra barb) is the source of this 783-nucleotide long non-coding RNA. RefSeq lists it as uncharacterized. The transcript is spliced from 4 exons. Lineage: Eukaryota; Metazoa; Chordata; Actinopteri; Cypriniformes; Cyprinidae. The record is from RefSeq and is a predicted model, not a curated record.
UGCAUUUCUCCUUCAGCUCUGGACUGGAAACGCAAAGCAGACGCUGGUUUGUCAGAUGCCAGUCCUCCAUGACAUCCUUUCAUGCAAUCCUUCAAGAGCAACCUCUCUGGAAUGAAAUAUCUGACACCUUUGCAUGAUUAGAAAAAUGUUUUCAUCUCCUUCAGAUGUCUGAGUUUAGCAGAUUUCACCGCUAAGAUCCCUCACAAGAUCCCAACGGACUGCCCAUGCGAGAAGAACAGAUUGAGGAAGUGGAGGUGAGCUCUAUCGUCCAGGAGGCCGACCGAGUGCAGAUGCUCCUGAUCAGGACGGUGUGAAGCUGUGACAGGCUUAAGAGCGGCGAGCUGCCACUCACACACACACACACACACACACACACCUGCAGGCCCCGCUCUACCUGACAGCGCUCUGCAGAUGGGCCAGUCCCUCAGGUGGAGCCCGCCAAACACUUGCCAUUAAUCAUUGCAUAAACCUCGCCCAGAGGGAGAACUCGAGGUUAGCCAUCAUUUGGAGCUAAAUUGAGUGAAAAAUAGCUCUGGCAAUGGGACGACUGUGUCACCGUCCCCUGAGGGCCCCCGCCAAGUGUGAAAACAGCUCUAUCCAAGCAGCUAAGUAAUCUGUCAGUUAGUAAAAGACAUCAUAAUUCAUUUAGCCUAAUAAAGCCAAGAGUGAUCACAGACGUGUCUGUUUGCUCUCGGAUCUUACAGCAUUUAUCUUCUUUAUUUUCCUGCAUGUCCUUUGACAGCACUCGUUCUCAGAUGAAUAAUCUCAGUUGAUGUACGACUU